Molecule: long non-coding RNA, 1587 nt
Organism: Homo sapiens (human)
Lineage: Eukaryota; Metazoa; Chordata; Mammalia; Primates; Hominidae
Gene: LRRC77P
Product: leucine rich repeat containing 77, pseudogene
Source: Ensembl
AUGUAAGAAUUUCAAGGCCACAACUCCAUAUUUGAAGUAAAGUGCUCAUAAAAUUAAUUGCAAGGUUUUGAGAAGCCAUCUGCAGCUCACAACUAGAUGAGUGACACAAUCAGAUAAAAAAGCCUGGAGACAUUGAACUAAGAUCAAAUUUAAUGUAUUAAAUAUGGUAGAAAGAAGAGAGAAUGAAAAAUAAUGUUAACAAUCUAGGUGAGGAAUUGCUGAGGAGACAAAUUAAGUAAAUCCUGUGGAAGGAAAGAAGAAAGGAGGAAAGAGGAUUGGAUGGAAGAAUCUCCACUUCUCAUAGGUGUAGUCCUUCCUUAGCCUGCUUUUUAAUGAGUGCUGCUAAAGCCCUUAGCCUGCCUGUUUACCCUUGGAGUGGAGCAAUGAACUGAAGAUAUUUGAGUGAGUUCAAGAGAGACUCAGAAGAGAAGAAUUGGAGGCAGCAAACAUAGACAGCACUUUUAAUGCUUUUCUCAUAUGCUGUAAGACAUGAAAGCAAUCUAUUGGGAUGAAAGCUGAAAGGAGAAGCGGGACAAGAGAAGUGAAUCCGUGGAAGACCCCCAAAAGAGGCUGCAGAUUCUUAGUGGACAGCUCUCAUAUCCCCUCCAGGGAAAAUGAUGAAAAAUGUCUUCAGAAAAAUAGCUUUAUGAAGGCAAGAGGACUUUUUGCACCUGCAAGACAUGUCUGAAAGCUCCUCAGGUCAAAACACAAGUAGUCAAGAGAUUUGUCCAUCUAAUUCAUCAUACUACUCUGAUCCAAGUGAGACCCACACUGGGUCAGCUCCAUCAAGGAGAAGAACAUUCCACCCACGUUUGGAUUCUGGAAUAUCAUCCUUGCUUCCAUCAGAUUCUUGUAAGUACCUCACUUGGCACAAGGUAGACAUGACGUUCAAGGAAGUCAACUGCGUUGCCCAAGAGUAAGAGAAGGAAUCUCUGAAGAAGAGCAACUUUUCAGACAGGUAGAGUGUGCCUUGCUCCCAAGGAAAAGAGUUCUUGAAAAAAACAAAUGGGAAACAUGGCUACAAGAAAACUGGGAAGACUGCAAGAAAAUCUCAGAAUCUGCUUGAGAAUCCGGUCCUUCUUCCUCCAUACACCCAUGGAACACUCCCAAACUCUGUAUGCUGCUCACUAAUUCUGAUUAAGGUCUUCACCCUCCCUACCUUGGAAAUUGCUACAACAUAAUUGUGUUUAAUUUGAACAUUUCAUUUCAGGGUUUGGGGGAUCCUUACCAAGUUGAAAAUUUUAACAGAAUUCUUAGAAGACUAAUUCGAGUUGAAACCCUCUGUUACCAAGGAUACCUCAGAUACAGCAUUUAUCCUUGGCCGAAAACCACAUUGAGACUCUUACUGGAUUCUCCAGUUUACGGUGCACUCCACUGGAAUCCCUUAUUCUCAAGAGGAACCCUUAGUAUUCUCCUGUUUGCCAAACUUAAAAAUGCUGGAUGGAAUCUUGAAGCUACCAGAAGAUUGCUUAUCACCAGAAACCAAUAUUUUUUCAAAAAUAUGCCUUGUAUCCUAAUGCAGUCUGUAUAGAAAGAAAGCAAUCAUCAUUGUUGCUAAAAGCUAAUAAACACAGGACAUGCAUGAUU